RNAcentral lists this ribosomal RNA (400 nucleotides) under bacterium AB2019. RNAcentral describes it as "bacterial SSU rRNA". It matches the Rfam family "Bacterial small subunit ribosomal RNA", at positions 28 to 409 of the family's 1533-position model. The record is from RNAcentral.
GAUGAACGCUGGCGGCGUGCCUAACACAUGCAAGUCGAACGGAGAUUUAACGCUGAUGAGGCUUCGGCGGAAUCUUGUUAAAUCUUAGUGGCGGACGGGUGAGUAACGCGUGGGCAACCUGCCUCGUACUGGGGGAUAACAGUUGGAAACGACUGUUAAUACCGCAUAAGCGCACGGUAUCGCAUGAUACAGUGUGAAAAACUCCGGUGGUACGAGAUGGGCCCGCGUCAGAUUAGCCAGUUGGCGGGGUAACGGCCCACCAAAGCGACGAUCUGUAGCCGGACUGAGAGGUCGGACGGCCACAUUGGGAAUGAGACACGGCCCAAACUCCUACGGGAGGCAGCAGUGGGGGAUAUUGCACAAUGGGNGAAAGCCUGAUGCAACGACACCGCGGAGUGAA